CACCCCAUUUCUAAAAUGUACAACAUAAAGCGGAUGGUAUUGAUUUAUUUUCCUUACAAACAAAAUACAUUAUCUAAAAGAAGGGUGAAGUCCAUGAUGUUCCGCAAAUAUUGUAUCAAACAAUUUUUAUCCCCAUGGUACCUGAAAGCCAUCCAAAUCUUCACCUCCACUCGCUAUAAAUCCAUGAACUGAGGGGUCUACCUCAUAAAUUUUUAACCUGCCAGAAGCAGUUACAGUGAGGGUAAACCCCCCCCUCGUGUUGAGUCUAUCGCUUCAACCUUUUGUCGAGCCAGGUACUU
Molecule: unclassified non-coding RNA, 299 nt
Filed under: Hevea brasiliensis (rubber tree)
Lineage: Eukaryota; Viridiplantae; Streptophyta; Magnoliopsida; Malpighiales; Euphorbiaceae
Source: RNAcentral